UGGGGAAUAUUGGACAAUGGGCGCAAGCCUGAUCCAGCCAUGCCGCGUGGGUGAUGAAGGCCCUAGGGUUGUAAAGCCCUUUCGGCGGGGAAGAUAAUGACGGUACCCGCAGAAGAAGCCCCGGCUAACUUCGUGCCAGCAGCCGCGGUAAUACGAAGGGGGCUAGCGUUGCUCGGAAUUACUGGGCGUAAAGCGCACGUAGGCGGCUUCUUAAGUCGGUGGUGAAAUCCUGGAGCUCAACUCCAGAACUGCCUUCGAUACUGGGAAGCUCGAGUCCGGGAGAGGUGAGUGGAACUGCGAGUGUAGAGGUGAAAUUCGUAGAUAUUCGCAAGAACACCAGUGGCGAAGGCGGCUCACUGGCCCGGUACUGACGCUGAGGUGCGAAAGCGUGGGGAGCAAACA
Molecule: ribosomal RNA, 402 nt
Filed under: uncultured Rhodoplanes sp.
Lineage: Bacteria; Pseudomonadati; Pseudomonadota; Alphaproteobacteria; Hyphomicrobiales; Nitrobacteraceae
Also listed under: 1 other name
Description: bacterial SSU rRNA
Rfam family: Bacterial small subunit ribosomal RNA
Source: RNAcentral